GCCAGGUGUGGUAGAGCAUACCUGUAAUUCCAGCAACUUGGGAGGCUGAGGCAGGAACUUUGUGAGUUCAAAGCCAGCCUCAGCAACUUAGCAAGGCCCUGUCUUCA
Molecule: small RNA, 107 nt
Filed under: Marmota monax (woodchuck)
Lineage: Eukaryota; Metazoa; Chordata; Mammalia; Rodentia; Sciuridae
Source: RNAcentral